RNAcentral lists this signal recognition particle RNA (300 nucleotides) under Saimiri boliviensis boliviensis (Bolivian squirrel monkey). Its description in RNAcentral is "Metazoan signal recognition particle RNA (ENSSBOG00000004881.1)". It matches the Rfam family "Metazoan signal recognition particle RNA". Rfam says of the family: The signal recognition particle (SRP) is a universally conserved ribonucleoprotein. It is involved in the co-translational targeting of proteins to membranes. Lineage: Eukaryota; Metazoa; Chordata; Mammalia; Primates; Cebidae. The record is from RNAcentral.
GCCAGCUGUGGUGGCACAUGCCUGUAGUCCCAGCUACUUAGGAGGCUGAGGCAGGAGGAUCACUUGAGCCCAGGAGUUCUGGGCUGUAGUGCCACUAUGCCAAUUGGGUGUCUGCACUAAGUUUGACAUCAAUAUGGUGACCUCCCAGGAGUGGGGGACCACAAGGUUGCCUAAGGAGGGGUGAACUGGCCCAGGUCAGAAACAGAGCAGGUCAAAGCUCCCGUGCUGAUCAGUAGUGGGAUCGCGCCUGUGAAUAGUCACUGUACUCCAGCCUGGGCAACACAGCGAGACCCUGUCUCU